This is a non-coding RNA of Nylanderia fulva, 533 nucleotides long. The record is from RefSeq and is a predicted model, not a curated record. NCBI's taxonomy places the organism in Eukaryota, Metazoa, Arthropoda, Insecta, Hymenoptera, Formicidae.
AUUUUUGACGUGAAAGAGAAAACUACUUGGGUAGGUGGUCUGCAUUUCCAGAUAAUAAGCGACCAACAAUCAUUUCCAUCUUGGCAUCAACAGGAUUUUUUGUUAGAAGCAACCUUUAACAUUACGAUAGGAUGUCAUCAAUGCACGGCAUUGUCAAAUAUGCCAUUGCGAAGUAUGAAAUUUGAUGAGCACAAUAUGGUAUGGAGACACUACGAUACCACACCUGUAAUGUGGACUGAAUACGCAACAAUAAUUGUGUCUAAUUACCUAAAUCCUAUUGAUAUACAUACUCGCAACAUUAAAAUGUGGUGCAGAUUUGAAGUUCACAUGGAAUAUGCAAAAAAUGUAAUUGAAAAUAUCAUGUUGUUUUUAAAUGAUAAAUGGAAACAUUCGAACAAUAUUUCGAAAGUGGAUCAUGUUGCAAUUCCAAAUUUCCAUGACAAAGGCACAAUAAUUUUCGGACUUGUUCUUUAUAGCACCUUUUUUAAUCCGCAUGAUGGAACACGCCUUCACCAAAGAAUAUUUUGGAAAAG